GACGCCGCGUGGAGGACGAAGGCCUUCGGGUUGUAAACUCCUUUUCUGGGGGACGAAUAAGGUCAGUAGGUAAUGGCUGACCGAUGACGGUACCCCAGGAACAAGCGCCGGCUAACUUCGUGCCAGCCACGUCGGUGACUGAGCGGGCUGGCAAGGCGCAUA
RNAcentral lists this ribosomal RNA (162 nucleotides) under uncultured bacterium. RNAcentral describes it as "partial 16S ribosomal RNA". It matches the Rfam family "Bacterial small subunit ribosomal RNA", at positions 393 to 539 of the family's 1533-position model. The record is from RNAcentral.